UGCAGUCGAGCGGUAGCACAGAGAGCUUGCUCUCGGGUGACGAGCGGCGGACGGGUGAGUAAUGUCUGGGAAACUGCCUGAUGGAGGGGGAUAACUACUGGAAACGGUAGCUAAUACCGCAUAACGUCGCAAGACCAAAGUGGGGGACCUUCGGGCCUCAUGCCAUCAGAUGUGCCCAGAUGGGAUUAGCUAGUAGGUGGGGUAACGGCUCACCUAGGCGACGAUCCCUAGCUGGUCUGAGAGGAUGACCAGCCACACUGGAACUGAGACACGGUCCAGACUCCUACGGGAGGCAGCAGUGGGGAAUAUUGCACAAUGGGCGCAAGCCUGAUGCAGCCAUGCCGCGUGUGUGAAGAAGGCCUUCGGGUUGUAAAGCACUUUCAGCGGGGAGGAAGGCGGUGAGGUUAAUAACCUCAUCGAUUGACGUUACCCGCAGAAGAAGCACCGGCUAACUCCGUGCCAGCAGCCGCGGUAAUACGGAGGGUGCAAGCGUUAAUCGGAAUUACUGGGCGUAAAGCGCACGCAGGCGGUCUGUCAAGUCGGAUGUGAAAUCCCCGGGCUCAACCUGGGAACUGCAUUCGAAACUGGCAGGCUAGAGUCUUGUAGAGGGGGGUAGAAUUCCAGGUGUAGCGGUGAAAUGCGUAGAGAUCUGGAGGAAUACCGGUGGCGAAGGCGGCCCCCUGGACAAAGACUGACGCUCAGGUGCGAAAGCGUGGGGAGCAAACAGGAUUAGAUACCCUGGUAGUCCACGCCGUAAACGAUGUCGAUUUGGAGGUUGUGCCCUUGAGGCGUGGCUUCCGGAGCUAACGCGUUAAAUCGACCGCCUGGGGAGUACGGCCGCAAGGUUAAAACUCAAAUGAAUUGACGGGGGCCCGCACAAGCGGUGGAGCAUGUGGUUUAAUUCGAUGCAACGCGAAGAACCUUACCUGGUCUUGACUCCCACAGACUUUCCAAAGAUGGAUUGGUGCCUUCGGGAACUGUGAAACAGGUGCUGCAUGGCUGUCGUCACCUCGGGU
Molecule: ribosomal RNA, 1016 nt
Filed under: Klebsiella pneumoniae
Lineage: Bacteria; Pseudomonadati; Pseudomonadota; Gammaproteobacteria; Enterobacterales; Enterobacteriaceae
Description: bacterial SSU rRNA
Rfam family: Bacterial small subunit ribosomal RNA
Source: RNAcentral